Molecule: long non-coding RNA, 699 nt
Filed under: Sinocyclocheilus anshuiensis
Lineage: Eukaryota; Metazoa; Chordata; Actinopteri; Cypriniformes; Cyprinidae
Description: lncRNA (ENSSANG00000022772.1)
Source: RNAcentral
GACUGUACUGCUUUGUGCCUCAGUGUCAUUAUCCAUUUCAGAUGAUGAAGAAGAAGGAGGAAGAAGACAUGCCGUUACAAAGAAGUGCAAGUGUGCGGAUUGCAGCGAAGACCUUUAAAUCCAAUAAGAGCUCCAACCAAGAGGAGGAGCAGCAGAGCCCAUUUCAGAGAAACUCCCGGCAGAGGCUGUCAUCUCGCUCCAUUCAGGAGAAAAUGGGACGACUGGCUCAAGCCUCACAGAAAUGGGAAAUAUCCAAAUCCCCAGUGGUGCACCAGACUGUGUGUUUAGCGGAUGAGGUGUCAAGGAAGAGGGAGCUGUUUGAGAAAGAACAGGAGGGAUCCGACAGAAGCCAUGUGUUCUCCAAACAGGAAUUUCGCAGCUUUUCUUCGGGAAUCUCUGAUCGAAUUAAUCGCUGGGUUCAGAAGAAAACAUUUGCCGUGUCAUCAUCAUCACCAUCAUCAGCAUCAUCCUCAUCUCAUAGUCCUUUGGAUCUGAGACAUGUGAACAUCUCCAUUAAGAAAAGUUUGUUUGAAAGAGGACAAGACCAGGACCACAAGUGACACUCUCGUGGAUAAAGACAAAGUGAGGUGAUCGUUUGUGUCUGAAUAAAAAUAGAGAUGAAGAAAUGUCUGGCUCAUAUUUCAUCAUUAAAAAAUGUACAGAAGACAUACAAAAUUAUACAGGAAUUUAUAUUCAAGC